Molecule: ribosomal RNA, 254 nt
Filed under: uncultured bacterium
Lineage: Bacteria
Description: partial 16S ribosomal RNA
Rfam family: Bacterial small subunit ribosomal RNA
Source: RNAcentral
UACGUAGGGUGCGAGCGUUGUCCGGAAUUAUUGGGCGUAAAGAGCUCGUAGGCGGUGUGUCACGUCGGCCGUGAAAACCUGGGGCUUAACUCUGGGCGUGCGGUCGAUACGGGCAUCACUAGAGUUCGGCAGGGGAGACUGGAAUUCCUGGUGUAGCGGUGAAAUGCGCAGAUAUCAGGAGGAACACCGGUGGCGAAGGCGGUUCUCUGGGAAUGACCUGACGCUGAGGAGCGAAAGUGUGGGGAGCGAACAGG